Molecule: long non-coding RNA, 1740 nt
Filed under: Olea europaea (common olive)
Lineage: Eukaryota; Viridiplantae; Streptophyta; Magnoliopsida; Lamiales; Oleaceae
Description: long non-coding RNA (OEUR_LNC012686)
Source: RNAcentral
UGUUGACCUCCAAAAAUGGCUCUUCCACGUGGCCAACUUGUAGCUACUCCACGUAUUCCUCCCUACGAAAUGAACAAACUGUCAGGCGCACACGGCCGUAACCGACGGUGGUGGCGGCCGUAUACACUCCGACGGUCAAGUCAGAUUUGGGUGGUCGGAACAGUGUCCAGGGACUACACAAAUCAAUCAGUCAAUAAAGGGGGAGGAGAAUAUAUAAACUUGUUAUGGAGUGCUAUCUAUUGAGAGUUUCAUUACCUUUGCCUCUGGCCAAUCUUUGGGUAUUUAUAGAUGGUAUGGACCGUGGGAUGUGGAACACGUGUAUACAUCUGACGGUAUGAAGUGUCUGCUCAUAGGCGUCAAUCAGCCGCGCUUGUAGAGUGGGCGGACAGUUUGUUUCCCCCGAGUUGAAUUGACAUAAAGUUGAUAAGUCACAUCAAAUGGCUUUAUGGGGGACGUCAAAUCAAUUUAAACCUUAUAUGCAGAGCAAAUCUUAAGUUGGCAGCGAAUCUUCUAACGGGGCUUGAACCCGACCUCGGGACGUCAUUGACAGGAAUCGGUGUAUUACUUCGGGGGGGAGGAUUCGGGAGUUCGGAAUGGUCUAAUUGAUUUCACCGGAUUCGGAGUGGCGAGAUGGCACUUAGGUACGUCGGUACCGAGGCUCUCAAAAUGAGGCGUAACAGUGGUUCGGAGUGGCGAGAUGGCACUUAGGUACGUCGGUACCGAGGCUCGUAAAAUGAGGCGUAACAGUGGUCCCCCAAAUCUGAGAAUAAAUAUUUAUAUUAUACGUGGAUUUGUUUUCCUGACCGGAUCGCGACAUGGGGGUAGCUGAAACUUUGUAGAGCAUGGGAAGAACGCAGAGCCGAGGCGAUGAGCCAGUGGUAGAGCCGAGGCGAUGAGCCAAUGAUACGAUCGCAUCGGGUACGUUAAAGCGUUAUAAAAAUUUGAGGGACUAGUCUUCACCGAAGCGUUGUCAGGAAGAGGGAGACGGAUCAAGCUCUGCAAAGCGUGGGAUGGGGGUGCAGCGACCGAGGUGAUAGAAAACGGGGCGAUUGCAUCGGGUGCGCCCAGGCUUUGUAAAGUUGGGGGACUCGUUCUCGCCGAAGCGUUGACGGACAAAAGGGUCGACGCGUGGGGAGAUGGCUAGAACUUCGUAAAGCAAUGGAGGGAACGCAGCGCCCGAGGUGAUUAGCGACUGGGGCCUUCGCAUCGGUUGCGGCCAAGCUUUGUAAAGUGGGGGGAGGAGAUCAUCCGAGGCGACCCAGAAGUCCAAUGAUUUGACAACUGUUGCGUGUUUCCAAGGUGACAGUUGGGUACCACACCCAUUCCCCUAGAAGGCUGCUGCGGCCAGUAAUCAUUAUUGACGGCUGUUGUUAACCGAGGCGACGCGUUUUAAUUUAGCGUGAAAGCCACAGCGACAUCUUGGGCGUAGAUCAAAUCUGACGUUUCAUUUCAACGGCUGGGAUCGAGAAUACAACGGACGGUUUAGAUUGAUCGUAUUUGACUUCAAAGGUGGAGAUUGGAUUCGUCUUUCCUAUAAAAGGUGAACUUUGGGGGCUUGCCAGAGUUUCUACCUUUGCCACGAAAAAACAAAAUUUUCUCCCAAGUUUUCGGCGAUUUCCAGCGUUCUCCAAGUAACUCCGGCGACAGAGAGAGUGGUAUUUUCGGCGAUCUUGCACCAUUUCCGGCUAGGAAACACCUUCAAACCCGUAAGUUCCAGUACCCAUUCAGACUAAAAAUUUC